Molecule: transfer RNA, 72 nt
Filed under: Camelus bactrianus (Bactrian camel)
Lineage: Eukaryota; Metazoa; Chordata; Mammalia; Artiodactyla; Camelidae
Also listed under: 1 other name
Rfam family: tRNA
About the family: Transfer RNA (tRNA) molecules are approximately 80 nucleotides in length. Their secondary structure includes four short double-helical elements and three loops (D, anti-codon, and T loops).
Source: Rfam by way of RNAcentral
GAGGGUAUAGUUCAGUGGUAGAGCGCAUGCUUAGCAUGCACAAGGUCUUGGGUUCGAUCCCCAGUGUCUCCA